AAUGCGAUAAGUAAUGUGAAUUGCAGAAUUCAGUGAAUCAUCGAAUCUUUGAACGCACCUUGCGCUCCUUGGUAUUCCUUGGAGCAUGCCUGUUUGAGUAUCAUGAAAUCUUCAAAGUAAAUCUUUUGUUAACUCAAUUGGUUUCUACUUUGGUAUUGGAGGUCUUUGCAGCUUCACACCUGCUCCUCUUUGUUCAUUAGCUGGAUCUCAGUGUUAUGCUUGGUUCCACUCGGCGUGAUAAGUUAUCUAUCGCUGAGGACACUGUAAAAGGUGGCCAAGGUAAAUGCAGAUGAACCUCUUCUAAUAGUCCAUUGACUUGGACAAUACUUUUAUGAUCUGAUCUCAAAUCAGGUAGGACUACCCGCUGAACUUGAGC
Molecule: unclassified non-coding RNA, 376 nt
Filed under: plant metagenome
Description: partial contains 5.8S ribosomal RNA, internal transcribed spacer 2, and large subunit ribosomal RNA
Rfam family: 5.8S ribosomal RNA (bases 1-103)
Source: RNAcentral